This 613-nucleotide long non-coding RNA is filed under the name Mytilus galloprovincialis (Mediterranean mussel). The record is from RNAcentral. Lineage: Eukaryota; Metazoa; Mollusca; Bivalvia; Mytilida; Mytilidae.
UUUCUAUUAAAUUGAUAUCGUAUGGACACGUUCGAAAAUCAGUGCAUAUCAACUAUUCUUUAAAAGAGUUAUGUCAUUUGGAAAUAUUAAUUAUAUUGAAAAUUGCAUUGUAUUUUCUGUCAUUCCAUCAUUUCUCUAAUAUAUCUAUAAAAAAAAACAAAGAAAAAAAUAAACAGCUGCGCUUCGAGCGCAUGAUACGCCCUUCGUCUUAUGAAAAAAAACCACAACAUAAUAUAUGUUUUUAAAAUAACACGGGGGUUGUACGGGAAGUCAUGCUAGGUAUAUCCUGACUCAUUCAUUAUUCUUGCUCAAUAGGAAGUUUAUAUAUCACAACAUGUUUUAUAUGAUCCCCAAAUUGAAGCUCAAUAAAAAUUCAAGAACUCAAAAAUGAAUUAAAGAAUCAUCACGAAAAGUAUACAGAUCUUAAGAAUAAUUUAACUAAAAAGUAUGUGAAGUUUUAUGCAAUAAUUAUAGAUAGUUUCAGAGAUACGGCGCGACAUGUGAACCCCAUCCCCUUUUGUCAUAAACUCAAUAACUCUAAAAUCAAAUUCUGAAUCAUUCUCAAAAGUAUAUACAAAUUCUUCAGAAUUAUAUAACUAAGAAGUGUGUAAAA